Molecule: ribosomal RNA, 700 nt
Filed under: uncultured beta proteobacterium
Lineage: Bacteria; Pseudomonadati; Pseudomonadota; Betaproteobacteria
Description: bacterial SSU rRNA
Rfam family: Bacterial small subunit ribosomal RNA
Source: RNAcentral
CUUGCACCUGGUGGCGAGUGGCGAACGGGUGAGUAAUACAUCGGAACGUACCUUAUCGUGGGGGAUAACGCAGCGAAAGCUGUGCUAAUACCGCAUACGCCCUGAGGGGGAAAGCGGGGGAUCGAAAGGCCUCGCGCGAUUAGAGCGGCCGAUGCCUGAUUAGCUUGUUGGUGGGGUAAAAGCCCACCAAGGCGACGAUCAGUAGCUGGUCUGAGAGGACGAUCAGCCACACUGGGACUGAGACACGGCCCAGACUCCUACGGGAGGCAGCAGUGGGGAAUUUUGGACAAUGGGGGAAACCCUGAUCCAGCAAUGCCGCGUGAGUGAAGAAGGCCUUCGGGUUGUAAAGCUCUUUUGUCAGGGAAGAAACACCGGCUCUAACACAGUCCGGGAAUGACGGUACCUGAAGAAUAAGCACCGGCUAACUACGUGCCAGCAGCCGCGGUAAUACGUAGGGUGCGAGCGUUAAUCGGAAUUACUGGGCGUAAAGCGUGCGCAGGCGGUUAUACAAGACAGGCGUGAAAUCCCCGGGCUUAACCUGGGAAUGGCGCCUGUGACUGUAUAGCUAGAGUGUGUCAGAGGGGGGUAGAAUUCCACGUGUAGCAGUGAAAUGCGUAGAUAUGUGGAGGAAUACCAAUGGCGAAGGCAGCCCCCUGGGAUAACACUGACGCUCAUGCACGAAAGCGUGGGGAGCAAACAG